UGGCGAACGGGUGAGUAAUGUAUCGCUAACGUGCCCUUCCGUUGGGGAUAGCCGGGGGAAACUCCGGGUAAUACCCAACAACAUACCUUCUCGGCAUCGGGAGGGUCUCCAAGGAGUAAUCCGCGGAAGGAGCGGGCGAUAUCGUAUCAGCUAGUUGGUGAGGUAACGGCUCACCAAGGCGACGACGCGUAGCCGGACUGAGAGGUUGGCCGGCCACAUUGGGACUGAGACACUGCCCAG
RNAcentral lists this ribosomal RNA (240 nucleotides) under uncultured bacterium. Its description in RNAcentral is "partial 16S ribosomal RNA". It matches the Rfam family "Bacterial small subunit ribosomal RNA", at positions 96 to 334 of the family's 1533-position model. The record is from RNAcentral.